UCCAUUCUGGUCUAACGGUAUGACGCCCGACUGUUACUCGGUAAGGUCCACGUUCGAAUCGUGGGGAUGGAGCCA
RNAcentral lists this transfer RNA (75 nucleotides) under uncultured archaeon. RNAcentral describes it as "tRNA-Asn(gtt)". It matches the Rfam family "tRNA". Rfam says of the family: Transfer RNA (tRNA) molecules are approximately 80 nucleotides in length. Their secondary structure includes four short double-helical elements and three loops (D, anti-codon, and T loops). The record is from RNAcentral.